CCCCGGAUAGCCUUGCGGUUAAGGUGUUCGAUUCGCAAUCGUUCACCCCGGGUUCGAGUCCCCGUGGGGG
This 70-nucleotide transfer RNA is filed under the name Fasciola hepatica (liver fluke). Its description in RNAcentral is "tRNA-Ala". The record is from RNAcentral. Lineage: Eukaryota; Metazoa; Platyhelminthes; Trematoda; Plagiorchiida; Fasciolidae.